AUCAGAGGAUGUCCGAAUGGGGGAACCCCGCCGCAUGCGAGUGCGGUGACCCGCACCUGAAUGUAUAGGGUGUGUGGAGGGAACGCGGGGAAGUGAAACAUCUCAGUACCCGUAGGAAGAGAAAAUAAGAAUGAUUCCGGGAGUAGUGGCGAGCGAAACUGGAUGAGCCUAAACCGUGUGCGUGUCAAGCGUGCUGGUGUUGCGUACAUGGUGUUGUGGGGUGUGUGUGUUCGGUUCAGCAUGACCGAGACGCUGAUGAGUGCNNNCGGAGUGGGUGAGAGUCCCGUAGACGAAACGCGUGGCCCCGGUGUGACACGUGUCCCCGAGUAGCACGGAACUCGUGGAAUUCCGUGUGAAUCUGCCAGGACCACCUGGUAAGGCGAAAUACUUCCUGAUGACCGAUAGCGGAUCAGUACCGUGAGGGAAUGGUGAAAAGUACCCCGGGAGGGGAGUGAAAGAGUACCUGAAACCAUGUGCUUACAAUCCGUCAGAGCACCCGUGUUGGUGUGAUGGCGUGCCUUUUGAAGAAUGAGCCUGCGAGUUAGCGGUGCG
This 552-nucleotide ribosomal RNA is filed under the name Burkholderia multivorans. Its description in RNAcentral is "bacterial LSU rRNA". It matches the Rfam family "Bacterial large subunit ribosomal RNA", at positions 102 to 638 of the family's 2925-position model. Lineage: Bacteria; Pseudomonadati; Pseudomonadota; Betaproteobacteria; Burkholderiales; Burkholderiaceae. The record is from RNAcentral.